AUUGAACGCUGGCGGCAUGCCUUACACAUGCAAGUCGAACGGCAGCACGGGAGCAAUCCUGGUGGCGAGUGGCGAACGGGUGAGUAAAGUAUCGGAACGUGCCCAGUCGUGGGGGAUAACGUAGCGAAAGGUACGCUAAUACCGCAUAAGAUCUAUGGAUGAAAGCGGGGGAUCGCAAGACCUAGCGCGAUUGGAGCGGCCGAUAUCAGAUUAGGUAGUUGGUGGGGUAAAGGCCCACCAAGCCGACGAUCUGUAGCUGGUCUGAGAGGACGACCAGCCACACUGGGACUGAGACACGGCCCAGACUCCUACGGGAGGCAGCAGUGGGGAAUUUUGGACAAUGGGCGAAAGCCUGAUCCAGCCAUGCCGCGUGCAGGAUGAAGGCCUUCGGGUUGUAAACUGCUUUUGUACGGAACGAAAAGGACUGCCCUAAUACGGUGGUCCCAUGACGGUACCGUAAGAAUAAGCACCGGCUAACUACGUGCCAGCCGCCGCCGUAA
RNAcentral lists this ribosomal RNA (500 nucleotides) under uncultured bacterium. Its description in RNAcentral is "partial 16S ribosomal RNA". It matches the Rfam family "Bacterial small subunit ribosomal RNA", at positions 29 to 523 of the family's 1533-position model. The record is from RNAcentral.